Molecule: ribosomal RNA, 505 nt
Filed under: uncultured bacterium
Lineage: Bacteria
Description: partial 16S ribosomal RNA
Rfam family: Bacterial small subunit ribosomal RNA
Source: RNAcentral
GACGAACGCUGGCGGCGUGCCUAAUACAUGCAAGUAGAACGCACAGUUUAUACCGUAGCUUGCUACACCAUAAACUGUGAGUUGCGAACGGGUGAGUAACGCGUAGGUAACCUGCCUGGUAGCGGGGGAUAACUAUUGGAAACGAUAGCUAAUACCGCAUAAUAUUAAUUAUUGCAUGAUAAUUGAUUGAAAGAUGCAAUUGCAUCACUACCAGAUGGACCUGCGUUGUAUUAGCUAGUAGGUGAGGUAACGGCUCACCUAGGCGACGAUACAUAGCCGACCUGAGAGGGUGAUCGGCCACACUGGGACUGGGACACGGCCCAGACUCCUACGGGAGGCAGCAGUAGGGAAUCUUCGGCAAUGGACGAAAGUCUGACCGAGCAACGCCGCGUGAGUGAAGAAGGUUUUCGGAUCGUAAAGCUCUGUUGUAAGAGAAGAACGGGUGUGAGAGUGGAAAGUUCACACUGUGACGGUAUCUUACCAGAAAGAGACGGCUAACUACGUG